AAUGACUAGGGAAAAACCUAAGGGUGUUCAAAAAUAACAGAGACAGUCCUACUGGAAAGUAUGAAAGGUCAGUAACUUUACCGAAAAAGACUUGUGGAUAUUUGUGUUAGGUAUUUUAUCUUACCUUUCCCCAUUCCCAGGUCACUAUUAAAAGUUUUGAUAUUUUAAUUUUACCUGAAAUCGUGUUAAAGUCUGCCUGCCUCUGUUACACUAACAUUUUUUGUUUUUAUUUUGAAGAAGUAUUUUUGGGAAGUCUUUUGAGGAGAAGAAGUAAAUAAGUCAUUUGAGAACAGAAUCCAUGUUAUCUCUACCCUUGAGGUGUUUUCAGUAAAUAUAGGUGGGCAUUGACAUAUCAAAAAUGAAUAAAUCAUAAGAGUGAACAUUAGGCAAAAUCAGUUUAUAAAAGAAAAUAGUUAAAUUGGAUGCGACCGAAAUAUGACAGUUGUGGCAGGACGUGUUCAUGAAAGUCACUGUAAAUUCUAAUAUUGUUGUCAUUACUUUAAGAAAAGAUUUUCGGGAACAUCUCUGUCUGUCAAGGAACCAUGGUAAUUUUAUAUUGUGAUUGGCUUAAAAAGUUUACAUUUUAGGAAUCUAUGUGAAAGAAAAUGAAGUAGCCAAGAACUAGUAAAAUUUUAGCUAAAUAAAUAAAGGGGGGAGUUCCCUUUGUGGCUCAGCAAUUAACGAACUCAACUAGGAUCCAUCAGGAUGAGGGUUCCAUCCCUGGUCUUGGCUCAGUGGAUUAAGGAUCUGGCGUUGCUGUGAGCUGUGGUGUAGGUUACAGAUGCGGCUUGAAUCCAGCGUGGUUGUGGCUGUGGCAUAUGCCAGCAGCUGUAGCUCUGAUUCGACCCCUAGCCUGGGAAUUUCCACAUGCUGCAUGUGCGGCUCUAAAAAGCAGAAAGAGAGAGAGAAAGAGGGAAAGCAAGCAAGAAAGAAAGGAGUGAGUUUACUUUCAUCUAAACCUAUAGGCAUGCCCACAGAAAUAAAGGCAAAGGGUAAGAAAGUAUAUAAUGACAAUACCAAUUAAAAUAUAACACCUACAGAGUCAAACAAAACAAAGUUCAGUAUGUUACUAUGCUUUUAAACAAAAGGGAAACACACUUUAAAAUUACUGUAACCUUAGGAAGAAAGCCUUUCUAAAAGGCCCUGUGCAUUGUACCAUGCCCCCCAUUUACCCAGAAUCAAAGUUAUGAAAAGACAUUAGUAGAGCAAAGGAGGGCAAAGGCUGGUGGACGCCGAAAGACCCAUAUCUUCCUAGCAGUAGGAUAAUUUUUAUUCUUAGGACAUGGGAGGUAAAAAUAGAUGACCUCACCAUCCUGAGACUUAAUUGAAUCAAACCAGUCCUUUCCUGCUUUCAACCUUUCUCCUCUAAGAGACAUUCUAAUUGUAUCUCAAAAUAGUUUCCCUCUGUAGUCACCUCUCUGUCCUUUUAACGCCAUUGCCUUCACAAACCAAUGCUAACUCCUGCCAUGUUAUACAUGCUAACUAAAGAAUUUCCAGUCCAGAUGUUUGCAAUGGAUAACAAAGCUGUUUGCAAAUGUGGACUAUAUCAUUCAUUCCUUCAUUCCACUAAUGUUUCUGAAUGGCCAGUGGGUAUAGGGACUACUCAGCAGAUACAUGAUAGUUUCUGCUUUUAUGUACAAAUUGCAGUCUAAAAAGCACAGAAACAGGAGGAAAGGACAUGCAGAAAUGUCCACUUGAAGAUGUUCUGAGGGUCUAGGAGUAUUGGUAGUGAUUCCACAUAUUCUGCAUUGGGAGGACAUUGUUUGAAUUAAGAGCUAUUCACGAGUUCUUUGGGCUGGGCUCUGUUUCUUACCAUUGGCAUAAAAGAGUCCCAGGCUCCCCCUGCCCCAGAUGGGUACCAGAGUAACAUCAUGGCAUGUGGCCAAGGCAGCAAAAGGUUGAUUCAGGAUGUUCAAGGGGAGAGAGGAACAGAGACGGAUGAUCCUGUUCCUGCUCCUGCGCUAAAAAGGAGGUAUAGGUAUCUUAUGGGUAAAAGAUGAUGAGCUAAUUUCCCGGUUUAAAUUUGGAGCACUGCCAUUUGCAUGUUUGGGCCGGGGAGGUGAUAUCUACUUGUAGCUCAAUUUAAAUUACCCACAAGUAAGUGGAAAACAUGCUUCAGCCUCAAAGUCUGUCCCUGCAGUCCCCCAGCUGUAACUAAACUUCCCACGGCUUUGACCUCCAAUAUGGGUCAUGUGAUUAAGACAUCUUUCAACCUGCAGGUGGAGGAAGUUAGAUGGUCUCAGAGAUGAGAGAUAAGGAUGGAAAGUGUGCUUGAAAGAGGUCCCUGAAUCGCUGCAGGAGCAGCCAGAUUUGAGGGAGAGCCGUUGUGAUUGAGAGGUGAAGGGUCUGUGGUUAGAAGUCUGGGAGGAUUAAAAAGCAAUGUUUAAGACCGCAGGCUUCAUAAUUCUAGUUCAAAACCAAAUGCAAAGAGAAAAAAGGGAACUGUUCACUUUUGGUUCCCUGGGGCCUGUUGUAGUGCACCAUCCAACCAGAUGCAGUGCAGUUUCGCUUGUCCAGUCAGUGUCAGCACAAUUGACAACCAAGCAUUAUUGAAAAAACCUGGACUCCACCACAAACUGGAGGCUGUCUCAGUUCUCGCUUUGGGAGCAUAACUGCAGGAGUGGAGGAUAGAGACACAACCCUGGGACAUCCUAGAGUUCAGGGAACAAGACUCAGAGUCAAAAACCCCAGGAAGCACCUACAGAGCUGGAAAGGAGGUGGGUAGCUGCCGCUUUUUGAUGUCAGACACAGGUGAGCCUCCAUGCCCGAGAGAAGUGGGUGAAGACAGCCUUUAAAUGGCAAGCAUCACCUAACAAUUUUUUUUGGUUGUAUGAAAUUCUUUUAUUUUUUCCUUUAUUUUAAAAUUAUAGUUGACUUACAAUGUUCUGUCAAUUUCUGCUGUAUAGCAAAGCAUCCCGGUUAUACAUAUAUGUACAUUCUUUUUCUCGUAAUAUCUUCUGUCAUGUUCCAUCACAGGUGAUUGGAUGUAGUUCCCUGUGCUAUACAGCAGGACCUCAUUGCUUUUCUUUAUUUUUAAAUUGGAUUCUAAUUGAUUUACAAUGUUGUGUUAGAGUAUUUACCUAGACAAGCAUUAUAUUCUUUAUGUAUUUUUUCAUCUCGAAUAUGCUUAGGAACUCUGCCCACACAAAACUCAGUUAAAAAUAGACAUUUCCCCCCAUUUUUUCUUAUUUACAUUUAACUCUUUACGUUAGAGUAUAAAGGGAGGCUUGGAUUGGGCCAUUUCACCCCAAACCUUUUUUGAACAUGUAGUUGUGAUGGUCCUUUUUACCUUACCUCCUGUUACUAGCUGUAACAUUCUAUUACUAGGCUAUGUUUCAGGAAAUUGAUCCUGUUUUAUCCUUAUGCCAAGUUUUGCACCAAUUCCACAUUUUUUUUUUUUUCUUUUUAGGGCUGCAUCCAUGGCAUAGAGAGGUUCCCAGGCUAGGGGUCGAAUUGGAGCUGUAGCUGCUGGCCUACACCACAGCCACAGCAAUAUGGGCUCUGAGCCACAUCUGUGACCUAACACCACAGCUCAGAGCAAUGCCGGAUCCUUAACCCACUGAGCAAGGCCAGGGAUAGAACCUGCAUCCUGAUGGAUACUAGUCGGGUUCAUUAACCACUGAGCCAUGACAGGAACUCCCAUGCUGUUUUAUUUGCGGUGGUUUUAUGUGUUUUAUGUUCUGUGGGUAACUUACUAUAUUCACACUUCUGUUUGAGACUUUUAAAACUAUUAUUAUACUUACUCUUUCAAAUGAAUGUUAAAAUAAUUUUGUCAAGUGCACAAAAGGAACAUCAUCAUUGAAUUAAACCAUGAUAUUAAUUGCAAAAAUACUUUUCAAUUCUAGUUAAUGCUUUUGGGUAGAAAAACAUGUGCAUCUUAAUAUAUUUGAUCUCCUUUUGCAUCUUCAAAUUAAGUUCUGUAGCUUUUUUUCAUAGUGAUUGCAUUUUCUAAUUCUAGAUAUUUAAUAGGUUUUUUUUUUCUUUGCUUCUGUGAAUAUCAGUAUGUUUUUGUUUUAGCUUCUAAUAUUUGGUUGUUGCUAUAGGAGAAGUCUAGUGAUAACCUUAUUGUGUAUGACAACUUACUAGCCUUAAUUGUUUUAAAAGUUUUAAAAUUGUAAAUAAUGCUGCAUUGAACUUUGAGGAAUAUGCAUCUUUUUGAAUUAGUGUUUUUGUCUUCUUCUGAUACAUAUCCAGGAGUGGAACUAUAGAAUCAUAUGGUAGUUCUAGUUUUAAUUAGGGAGCAACUUAAAUACUGUUUUCCAUGGUGGCUGCACCAAAUUACAUUCCCACCAAUAAUGGCCAAGAAUUCCUUUUUCUCCAGGUCUUCAACAGCUUUUGUUAUUUGUAGACUUUUUGAUGACUUUCUGACAGGCAUGAAGUGAUUCUCAUUGUGGUUUUGAUUUGUAUUUCCCUGAUGAUUAGAAAUACUGAGUUUCUGGAAUUCCCAUUGGGGUUCAGCGGAAACAAACCUGACUAGUGUCCAUGAGGAUGCUGGUUUGAUUCCUGGCCUGGCUCAGUGGGUUAAGGAUCAGGUGUUGCCAUGAGCUGUGGCAUAGGUUGCAGAAGCGGCUGGAAUCUGGCAUGGCUGUGGCUGGCUGCUGUAUCUCUGAUUCAACCCCUAGCCUGGGAACUUCCAUGUGCCAUGGGUGUGGCCCUAAAAAAAAAGAAAAAAAGAAAUACUAAGCAUCUUUCUAUAUGCCUAUUGAUCAUGUCUGCCUUUUUUUUGAAAAAUGUCUAUUCAAGCCUUCUACCCAUUUUCUAAUUGAAUUGUUUCUUUGACGUUGAAUUGUAUGAACUGUUUGUAUAUUUUGGAUAUUAACCCCUUAGCAGGCAUGUCAUUUGCAAAUAUUUUCUUC
RNAcentral lists this long non-coding RNA (4856 nucleotides) under Sus scrofa (pig). Its description in RNAcentral is "lncRNA (ENSSSCG00000060963.1)". Lineage: Eukaryota; Metazoa; Chordata; Mammalia; Artiodactyla; Suidae. The record is from RNAcentral.